AGUAAAAUGCCUGAUAAAAAGGACUAUUUUGAUAGAAUAGGUUAUGUAGUUUUCUUCUUUUACUA
This 65-nucleotide transfer RNA is filed under the name Calanus hyperboreus. Its description in RNAcentral is "tRNA-Ile". Lineage: Eukaryota; Metazoa; Arthropoda; Copepoda; Calanoida; Calanidae. The record is from RNAcentral.